ACUGCGAGUGAAGCGGGAAAAGCUCAAAUUUAAAAUCUGGCGGUCCUUGGCCGUCCGAGUUGUAAUCUAGAGAAGUGUUAUCCGCGCUGGACCGUGUACAAGUCUCCUGGAAUGGAGCGUCAUAGAGGGUGAGAAUCCCGUCUUUGACACGGACUGCCAGGGCUUUGUGAUGCGCUCUCAAAGAGUCGAGUUGUUUGGGAAUGCAGCUCAAAAUGGGUGGUAAAUUCCAUCUAAAGCUAAAUAUUGGCGAGAGACCGAUAGCGAACAAGUACCGUGAGGGAAAGAUGAAAAGAACUUUGGAAAGAGAGUUAAACAGUACGUGAAAUUGCUGAAAGGGAAACGCUUGAAGUCAGUCGCGUUGGCCGGGGAUCAACCUUGCUUUUGCUGGGCGUACUUUCCGGUUGACGGGUCAGCAUCAAUUUUGACCGUUGGAUAAAGUUCAGGGGAAUGUGGCAUCUUCGGAUGUGUUAUAGCCCUUGKUCGCAUACAACGGUUGGGAUUGAGGAACUCAGCACGCCGCAAGGCCGGGUACUUGUACCACGUUCGUGCUUAGGAUGCUGGCAUAAUGGCUUUAAUCGACCCGUCUUGAAACACGGACCAAGGAGUCUAACAUGCCUGCGAGUGUUUGGGUGGAAAACUCGGACGCGUAAUGAAAGUGAAAGUUGAGAUCCCUGUCGUGGGGAGCAUCGACGCCCGGACCAGACCUUUUGUGACGGAUCCGCGGUAGAGCAUGUAUGUUGGGACCCGAAAGAUGGUGAACUAUGCCUGAAUAGGGUGAAGCCAGAGGAAACUCUGGUGGAGGCUCGUAGCGAUUCUGACGUGCAAAUCGAUCGUCAAAUUUGGGUAUAG
Molecule: ribosomal RNA, 849 nt
Filed under: Hebeloma alboerumpens
Lineage: Eukaryota; Fungi; Basidiomycota; Agaricomycetes; Agaricales; Hymenogastraceae
Description: eukaryotic LSU rRNA
Rfam family: Eukaryotic large subunit ribosomal RNA
Source: RNAcentral